Molecule: transfer RNA, 72 nt
Filed under: bacterium
Lineage: Bacteria
Also listed under: 1 other name
Description: tRNA-Arg
Rfam family: tRNA
About the family: Transfer RNA (tRNA) molecules are approximately 80 nucleotides in length.
Source: RNAcentral
GCCCCCAUAGCACAAUGGAUCGUGCAGCGGACUUCUAAGCCGUUGAUGUUGGUUCGAUUCCAGCUGGGGGCA